Molecule: unclassified non-coding RNA, 3290 nt
Filed under: Pomacea canaliculata
Lineage: Eukaryota; Metazoa; Mollusca; Gastropoda; Architaenioglossa; Ampullariidae
Description: cBP80/20-dependent translation initiation factor- like, transcript variant X3
Source: RNAcentral
ACUGUGGACUUAGCCUUGUCAAUCAUCAUGGCGGGAAGAGGCCGUGGUCGUGGUAGAGGUCUGCUACUAAGUAAAGCGAUAUCACCCGGUAUGACCGAAGAUGAAGACAAGAAGGUUUCUGUAGCUGAAGUAUCACCACCAGCACCACAUCCCAAAGACAUGCGUUCAACAGCAGCCCUGGCAGAACUGGAGACUCUUAUAUCCCAGAUCUUGUACGACAUUAGUGAUGAUGAUCUUCAGCAUAUUGAGAGACUUUCAAAUGCAGCAGCAUCAUCGGAGGACCUGCAUACUAUUGCAAAAUUCAUCUACAUUCAGUGUCAAAAAAAUAGAGAGUUUGCUAAAGUUGGGGCUAUCAUUUGUGAUAGACUGGCUAACAUAGAACGAGAGGGAAUGAGAUUCCGAAACUGCAUUCUUUCCCUGGUGCAAACUGACUAUAGAGGUAGGGAAGCUCUCAGGAGAGAAUCUAGCAGUCAGUUUAUGGCUCUGGUAUCGUUCCUGUCCCAGCUACUCACCACAAUGCGAUUGGCUAAUGGAGAAGUUAUGCAGCCUUUAGUUCAACCUAUCUAUGAUUGUUUUGAUCUCAUUUUAAGUCAAGAUGAGAUGGAUGCAGAUGAAUGUGAAUGUUUAUCACUUCAGUUACAAAGUAUUGGGCGAGAACUUCAAGACAGUGGUGAAGACCAGAUGCAAGCCCUGAUGGAUAAUAUCCGUUCUAAGAUUAUUCAAGAAAAAACAAAAGCAAACAUUCGCUGUGUCCUGAUGGAAGUCUUGGAAUGCUAUGUGCGUAGGUGGCAAAAUGCUCCAAAUGAUGUUACCCGAUUUUACUGUGAUUCAAUGGCAGACAUUUUGGCGGGCAUGGUUAUUUAACUUCUUCCAGGUUUUUUUGUUUUGAUUUUUUUUUCUGAAAAUCGUAGUGGACUGGCUGCAAAGUGGGUGGCAAAUGUUUGUGCAUACUGGCGUGUUUUUUUCCCCCCAUGCAUCACUUCUUGUUUUUCAUGGAGUGCAUGUCAGUCAUGUCAAAGAUGAGCAUCUUGCAUUUCUAAAAAAAAUUCUUGGAACUAAGUUUUGACAAAUUCAGAUUGGCACAUUAUUUAUUUAUGUUAGAUUUGUUUUCUGCUUAUAUUUGUAAAUAUGCAAACAUUUAAAAAUAUGGCAUUGUCAUUCAUACUGCAUAUAACUCUGUUUGAAGGAGGCUUUAGUAUGCUGUUAGUACAUAUAAAUAUGUGUAAUUUAACUUUUGCUAAGUAUUUCUGAGACUAUUCUCCUAACAUAUCACAACAGAAAUCUUACCCCAACACACUCUCACACUCAUUGAGAGGAAGGAAUGCAUUUGGUUCAAGGACAACCUGCUUAAGUUAAAAGAACAGUAUAAAUCUGGGAAGGGAUAAUUAGUUGUCGGAGUUUGUAAAAAGUAAAUUUUUUCAAUAAAUCUUAGUAUUGAUUACUUUGGUGUUGUGCAGUAAACAUUACUUCAAACAUUUUGACGAACUUUGCAGUUUACACCAGGUUUUUGUCACCGAGCCAUAAGUCUACCUACAAACAUGUACAUCAUGACAAUGUAGAAAACAAAUAACUUUUUUCUUAGUCCACUCACAGAAAUAAGAUACCUUUUUCAUGGAGCUUUCUAGUCAUGAAAAAAACACGUUCACAUUAUUUAUUGAGUUUGGGUUUUUUUCUUUUUUGUCUGGGAGUUGGAAAAUAUUGUAACAGAAAGUUGAUCAAAUUAAUGCAGACUGAAAUAAUUUCGAAUGUGUAUUUUGUGCCAGUCUGAGCAAAGCAUGAUGCAGUCAUUUCAUCAUUUGAUUCUGAUUUGCUUGAAAAGACCGUGUUUUGUGUGUACAUGUCAUAGAUGUGUUUCUGUUCCAUGCUGAAAUGGGAGAAGGGUUGUGCUCCACUCAUCCUAAUUUGCUUCCUGCCAUAAUUUCUAUUAACAUUUUUUUUUUCCUUCAAUCUUGAGUUGUGCUCGAUUUCUUGUUUUUUUUAAUAGAGUGCACCUUCAUGAUCUUGUCAGGUUGAAAAAUUGAAAUCAUCAUUUCAAGAGUAACAGCUUACAGCAAUGUGGCAUUCCAUUUUGUUUACAGUCUCCACAUGUUUUUGGUUUUAACUAAUGAACAUGCCUUAUAAAAGCGUUUUGUGCAGGAAAUGUAUGCUUAAUACACAUUUUUUUCAUGGCUGUAAAGUUUAAAACAUCAAUGAAGUAUGUAAAAUACUUUAUAUUUGCUUUAAUGAUAGAUUUAUGCUGUUUAGAGGUAUCCCAUGUGCAAAAUCUUUUUCUUUAUGCUCAUUGGUAGCUUGUUGCCAUUCCUUCUCUGGCAGCCUCACAUACAAGAAAGUUCAAAAUGGAAUUCACCUUAGAAAUUCAUCAUUGUCAACGGAGUUGACAUCAUGCUGACUUAAUCAGCAAUUUUUUUAAAUCUUCAUAGUGUUACUCUCCAUGAUUAUUGGUUCAGCAUGCAUCAGCAUUAUAAAAUUUUAUGACCAUAGAGCAUUGUCUGUAAGUGGGGCUGGAUCGGUCACACUUUGUGAAAGCCGGCAGACAAUUUUAACGAGAUAGGCUUUAGGCUGGAACCCACAGGGCAGGCGCAGGGUUGGGAGACCCAGACAGACAUGGAGAUCGGUCCACAGCGAUGCAGAGGCAUGACAUGGUCCCAACUGGAGAGGGACAUCCAGAACCUGAUCCAACGACAUGGUGUAGUUGCAGCCCUAUGCCCCACGGGGGGUGAAUAGGAAGAAGAAGAGCAUUGUAUAUUUAAUAAAUUUUUAAUAUUUACUAUACAUGCUAAAACAACUGAAAUUUCUGUGUCAAAUAGAAAACUGCAUGGCAUUAAACUCAGAUAAACUGAACUGCUUAUUUUUAAAAAGCAAAGAUCCAAUCCAUUUAGUACACUUUUAAUCACAUAAAAAUUGCUUUAAACAGCUUUAAAAUGUAAAAGUUUAAUGGGUAGGUCUUUAGUUUCACUCCCAACUUUUUUUUUAAUCGGCUCAGGUAAGACCGUACCUUUCCGUGUUCACAUUCAAUUAUGUUUCUUAUGUGCUGUUCAUUCUAGUUUGUUUUUAUAAAAUAAAAUUGAGACUGGGUUGCCAUGCUUUAAAAAAACAAAACCACAUGGCUAACCAGCUGCUAUUUCUCAGGUCAGAACAGUUUCUGUUGUUGUUCCAGAAACAUUUGUAUCCUGUGAAUCUGUUUAUUGUCAAAAGUCAAAGAAUAUAUUUUAUCCUGCACAUCUUGGUUUUACUGAUCAGAAUUUAUCUUCACACACUUUACAGUGGCUAUUAAAGCAAGUUUUAGUUAA